AUGAUGAAAGACCGGUUUGCAAAAUGUGUGGUGCAAAAGGUUUUGGAGAAUUGCGACGACCACACCUGUGAGCUGAUUCUUUCAUGUAUCAAGGUCCUCCUGAACACAGUAAAAAGAUGGGGACUAGUUACCUACCUCACACAGGACAGGAAACCUAGAGUUCUGCAGCGUGUCGAGGCAUAA
RNAcentral lists this ribosomal RNA (183 nucleotides) under Triticum aestivum (bread wheat). Its description in RNAcentral is "partial small subunit ribosomal RNA". Lineage: Eukaryota; Viridiplantae; Streptophyta; Magnoliopsida; Poales; Poaceae. The record is from RNAcentral.